Molecule: microRNA precursor, 85 nt
Organism: Pan troglodytes (chimpanzee)
Lineage: Eukaryota; Metazoa; Chordata; Mammalia; Primates; Hominidae
Source: Ensembl
GGGACGGGGCCUGCAGGCAGAAGUGGGGCUGACAGGGCAGAGGGUUGCACCCCCUCACCACCCCUUCUGCCUGCAGCGGUGGGCU